AGUGCCUCCUUACUGUUAUCUGCCCAGACACCUUCAUGCGUGAAACAAGUCUCACGUGUAACCUUACGACGUAAUUGAAUUGCCGCCCGGGCGUCUCUUCCAUUUAUUAUGUAUUGAUUUCCGACGACGGCUUGAUCACCGCGGUGGUGACUGUAGAUACCGAUGUGACAACGGAGAUGAAACAUGGACUACUUCUGGAGGACAGCGGAGGAUGGGAGCUGCCAGGAGAGCAGGAGAGCCGUUCUGAAUUACAGCGAGGAUGAAGAACAAGUACAUUUCCCCUUAAAGAAGCACUCCAGGUUUCUUUUAUUAAUUUUUUUGGCCCAUAUGAUGCACGCUCACCAUCAACAGUCAUACAGCUACAUCUAUAAGUUUCAUUUGGUCAUGUGACCCACAGAAAAUCACAGUAUUUGAUGCGUCAAAAGGAUGUCAAGUCCUGAGUCAGCUGACUUCCUGAGAACUACAGGAUGACAUCAUUCCUGCUAACUCACGGAUUCAUGCCCUUCCUUUACAGCUCUAUCUGUAUACUGCUGCUGGAAUCUCUACAGGAUCAGGAUACAUAGUAGUUAUACACCGCCCCCUUCAGCUCUAUCUGUAUACUGCUGCUGCUAUUUCUAUGGAAUCAGGAUAUAUAUAGUAGUAUAAACCUCCUCCCCCCAAGCUCUAUCUGUAUACUACUGCUGCUGGCUCUAUGGAAUUAUCAUAUAAAGUAGUUACACACCUGCUCCUUAGCUCUAUCUGUAUACUGCUGCUAUCUCUAUGGGAUCAGAAUAUAUUGUAGUUAUACACCUCCUCUCCCAACUCUAUCUGUAUACUGCUGCUUCUAUCUUUAUGGGAAAAUUAUAUAUAAUAGUUAUACACCUCUCCUCCAGUUCUAUUUGUUUACUGCUGCUGCUAUCUCUUGGGAUCAGGAUAAAUAGGAGUUAUAAAACUCCCCUCCAGCUCUAUCUGUAUACUGCUUUUGCUAUCUAUAGGAUCAGGAUAUAUAGUAGUUAUACAUCUCUCCUCCAGCUCUAUCUGUUUACUGCUGCUAUCUCUAUGGAAUCAGGAUAUAUAGUAGUUCUAGACCUCCCCCUCCAGCUCUAUCUGUAUACUGCUAUCUCUAUAGGAUCAGCAUAUAUAGUAGUUAUACACCUCCCAUUCAGCUCUAUCUGUAUACUGUUGCUAUCUCUAUGGGAUCAGGAUAUAUACUAGAUAGAUAUACACCUCUCUUAAACUAUGUUCACAGAUUGUGUUCCUUAAAAAAAAGUUAUCUUUUUGCUGUGAUUCUCUUAUUGCCUUGUAGCAAUCUUUCUCUAAAAAAUCACAUCUUGAAUUAACAAAAGUAUCAAAAACUUCACAAAUUGUAAACUGAUAGCAAACCGCUUAUGAGUUUAAUGAACCUCAGCCUAAUUAAAUGUCCAGGUAGAGUGAUCAAACACCACACACUCAGCCGGAGGAUUUUUGAAAAAUGUAGGCUGCAUUACAGAACCGCUUCAGUGAUGAAUUUACAAAAUCCAAAAUGGAGCCUCUCCUAUGCCUGCCACAUCAGCUAAAACAGGUAAGCAUGAGGCAUACACAAAAACCUCUGUCUAUGCUGCACUAUAUCAGCAAAAAUAAAAAUGAUUCUUUCCCAGAGUGCUUCUUUAAGUAGAAGGUAAUGCCGGUUUCCCACAUAUUUUUGCAUUCGUAUUACAGCCACUGGUCUUGGCCUGACCGGGGGUCCGAUGAUCCGUAUUUUGUACACUUAUUUUCAUUAAAGG
This is a long non-coding RNA of Hyla sarda, 1742 nucleotides long. RefSeq lists it as uncharacterized. The record is from RefSeq and is a predicted model, not a curated record. The transcript is spliced from 3 exons. NCBI's taxonomy places the organism in Eukaryota, Metazoa, Chordata, Amphibia, Anura, Hylidae.